This 708-nucleotide ribosomal RNA is filed under the name uncultured Lactobacillus sp. RNAcentral's name for it is "bacterial SSU rRNA". It matches the Rfam family "Bacterial small subunit ribosomal RNA", at positions 8 to 683 of the family's 1533-position model. The record is from RNAcentral. Lineage: Bacteria; Bacillati; Bacillota; Bacilli; Lactobacillales; Lactobacillaceae.
AGAGUUUGAUCCUGGCUCAGGACGAACGCUGGCGGCGUGCCUAAUACAUGCAAAUCGAGCGAGCUGAACCAACAGAUUCACUUCGGUGAUGACGUUGGGAACGCGAGCAGCGGAUGGGUGAGUAACACGUGGGGAACCUGCCCCAUAGUCUGGGAUACCACUUGGAAACAGGUGCUAAUACCGGAUAAGAAAGCAGAUCGCAUGAUCAGCUUAUAAAAGGCGGCGUAAGCUGUCGCUAUGGGAUGGCCCCGCGGUGCAUUAGCUAGUUGGUAGGGUAACGGCCUACCAAGGCAAUGAUGCAUAGCCGAGUUGAGAGACUGAUCGGCCACAUUGGGACUGAGACACGGCCCAAACUCCUACGGGAGGCAGCAGUAGGGAAUCUUCCACAAUGGACGAAAGUCUGAUGGAGCAACGCCGCGUGAGUGAAGAAGGUUUUCGGAUCGUAAAGCUCUGUUGUUGGUGAAGAAGGAUAGAGGUAGUAACUGGCCUUUAUUUGACGGUAAUCAACCAGAAAGUCACGGCUAACUACGUGCCAGCAGCCGCGGUAAUACGUAGGUGGCAAGCGUUGUCCGGAUUUAUUGGGCGUAAAGCGAGCGCAGGCGGAAGAAUAAGUCUGAUGUGAAAGCCCUCGGCUUAACCGAGGAACUGCAUCGGAAACUGUUUUUCUUGAGUGCAGAAGAGGAGAGUGGAACUCCAUGUGUAGCGGUG